RNAcentral lists this unclassified non-coding RNA (1912 nucleotides) under Hevea brasiliensis (rubber tree). Lineage: Eukaryota; Viridiplantae; Streptophyta; Magnoliopsida; Malpighiales; Euphorbiaceae. The record is from RNAcentral.
GAGAGGAAGGCAAAUGCCUAAGUUACUUCUUUUUUUUUUUCACAAGCCAACCAAUUUUAUUAAUAAAAUAUACAGGGAAAAACUUAGCAGGCAUAGUCUAAGCUAAAAUGCAGUACACCCAACCUUGGAUGAGCCAUACUAAGUAAAAAUACCCGGAAAAAAGUUACUUUCCUCUUAUAACCUUAUUAACAAGGUUAGCCCAUAAAUCCAACCAUCCCUUGUUGCCAGCAACAAGAAACAAACAUAUAUAGGCAUUAGUAGUUAAAACAGUUAUUUGUUGAUGCAAGGAAAUGCAGUUCCCAUGAAGGACAUCCUCUUAACGAAUCGACCUUUCAUUCUAGGCCUUUUCUCUGCAUUCAGUUUCCUCACCUCGUAUCUUAUCUUCUUUGAAAAUAAUCUUGUCCUUCGCUUCUCCUUGUACCUUAAUACUCUUGCUUCUCUUCCUCCAUUGCCACCUCCUGUGUGUCCUCCCAGGACCCCAUAUGGGUGGUGAUGAGCAUUAGGGCAUGUACCCUAUAACAUCACAAAUAGAAAGAUAACUAAUUAUAUAGAUCAAUUAAAACUUCUAAUCAAUUUUGCAUAGCCAUUUUAUUAAAGACUAUAUUGAUGCACUACAAUGACGUUCAAAUUAGCUAAGCAUGCUUGAGAGAAAGACAAGUAGUGUAUAUAUACCAUGUAGUGAGGCCAGCAAUCAUCAGGAUUGAGCUCUGGUCGGCUUCCUGUAGUCCAUGGAGAGCCAUGGCUGGCCCAGGCAGUGAUAACUGCUUCAUAAUCUAGCCUCAAAGAUACGUUUCUUCCCAUUUCUUUCGUGUUUCCACUAUUCAUCAUGGUCGUGUCAGUCACAGAUGGUACUGCCUUCUCCUCCUCUUCUUCAUCUCCAGUUAUCGGUGACUCGUAAUUGAAAUUCCAAUCAAAUGGUUCUCUUGCUAUGUCGAAAGCUUGAUCGAAAUGGCAAUCUGUGAAUGCUUCAAGUUCUUGUUCAUCCUUGACCUUCACUACUUUGUCCUCAAAACAAAACUUGUCAUCAUCUUCCUCUUUAUAAUCUAACAACCCAAAAUCCUUGAUAUCAGGAGAAUUGUCCUCAAGUCCUCUUCCAAGUAGGUUCUCAACAUCCGCAGCAAACUCAGCAAGAUCCAUAUCUGAAGGUACAAACGCAGGUAAAUUAUUCAGGUCACAUUUAGUUCCUCCCUGUCCACAACCAUCGAAAACCAUAUUUCCCUCUUCGUUCCCCAUGGCUAUUUCGUUUCCUUCACAUGCUAUCAUAUCAUCAGUGCAUAGUUCUGCAGCAAAAUGAUCAAACACAGGAACCCUAUACAGCAACUGAUCUUCAUCUUCGUCGACAACAGUAUUACCCUCUUCUUCACUGUCAAUCUCAGGAACAAGAGGAAGAGAAUUCAUUAAGAUUUUCUCUUCAUCUUUAAGUUGUUGAUGUGCUAAUAAAGACUUCUUGUUGUUGUGCCUUGGGGUUCUUGCCUUUUUAGUGAACCCUUGAAGCCAAGGGUGAGAAUCCACACUGUUUAUCGAACCACUUGUCUUAGAAGAAGCAGUUUCGAGCCGGACCCUUUCAUGCCUGCUGGCUAACUGGUUGGCGGAAUGGACUGAUUCAUCACAGGCCUGGCAAAGAAAAGCGUCAUCAGAAGCGCAGAACCACCGAGCUCUCUUGCGGGAACAACCAUCGCAAGGUCGAGCAGUCUUGCCUGCCAGGGCUUUUGCUGCUUUCCUUUCAGUAAUCAUUGAAGAGAUUUUUGUGUAGAAAUCGAAUUAGCCAAAGGGAGGAUUGAAGGGCUAACGAAAAGUCAAGGUGACCGUUAAAAAGAGUAACAGGGUGUCUUGUAUUAAAUUUGGGGGGCCAUUUGAUACAAUUAUUGAUUAGAGAGAGAAGUGUCGUUUUAGGAUUCUGACCAACAAUUGU